GUUUGCCAAGUAUAGAUAAUUCUUUAAUUCAUAAUGCCUCUUAAUAAGUUUACGCGAGGUUACAUUUAGCACGACGCAGGAAAGAACUGGGUGGCGCAAAAAUGGACCUUACCUCUCAUGUUUUUUACUAUUUUGUUGAAUAUUUGCCUGCAGUUAUAAUAAUACGGUAAUAGUUUUGGAUUAGUCCAGCGAAGCCUCAGGUAAACAAUAAUUGUCUUAGAAGUGUAGUGUCUACACAGUGUGUAGCUAGUGCAGGCUCAUGAAAACGACAAAUGGAAACAAGGUUCACAUCAGCAUAGUGUCUAAAAAUAAUCAAUUCAAGAGUCUCAGAAAUUUGUCGGAUUAACCCAUGUUGUUGUUACACCCGCACAAAUUCCAGUGAUCUACUUAGAUCCAAAAUUAUUCUGUGAGCUUAUGUCAUCGAUACAUUAGACUGAGCUACAGCCUACAAAUGUAAAAUUAAUGAUAAAUAGAUGGAGGCCAGAGCAAAUGUUUAGCUAACGGAGAACAUCUAGUUCAAUUAUUUGGAGAUUACAUUAGAUUUUCAUGAUUUUGUUUGCACACGUUCUUUAUAUAUUUGAUUUAAUUUAACAUUAUUUAGUUCCGGUUCCAUUUUUAAGUAAAUAAACUACAGCAAUCAGACAUGUAGAUAGAAUUAGAGGUAACAUAUUAAUUUGUUUACAUAAACUAAAUAUUUAGAAUGAACUGUUUUGUUUUCACA
This is a long non-coding RNA of Pieris brassicae (large cabbage white), 721 nucleotides long. RefSeq lists it as uncharacterized. The record is from RefSeq and is a predicted model, not a curated record. The transcript is spliced from 3 exons. NCBI's taxonomy places the organism in Eukaryota, Metazoa, Arthropoda, Insecta, Lepidoptera, Pieridae.